This 133-nucleotide ribosomal RNA is filed under the name uncultured bacterium. RNAcentral's name for it is "partial 16S ribosomal RNA". The record is from RNAcentral.
AGGUUACGUCAAGACUCACGGCUAUUAACCGUAGGCUUUUCUUCUCUACUGAAAGUGCUUUACAACCCGCAGGCCUUCUUCACACACGCGGCAUUGCUGGAUCAGGCUUGCGCCCAUUGUCCAAUAUUCCCCA